Molecule: ribosomal RNA, 436 nt
Filed under: uncultured Oscillospiraceae bacterium
Lineage: Bacteria; Bacillati; Bacillota; Clostridia; Eubacteriales; Oscillospiraceae
Description: partial 16S ribosomal RNA
Rfam family: Bacterial small subunit ribosomal RNA
Source: RNAcentral
ACGGAAGGCGCAGUGGGGAAUAUUGGGCAAUGGACGAAAGUCUGACCCAGCGACGCCGCGUGAGGGAAGAAGGUCUUCGGAUUGUAAACCUCUUUCAGCAGGGAAGAAGGAAGUGACGGUACCUGCAGAAGAAGUCACGGCUAACUACGUGCCAGCAGCCGCGGUAAUACGUAGGUGGCGAGCGUUAUCCGGAAUUACUGGGUGUAAAGGGUGUGUAGGCGGGGAAGCAAGUCAGAUGUGAAAAUUAUGGGCUCAACUCAUAACCUGCAUUUGAAACUGUUUUUCUUGAGAGUGGGAGAGGUAAACGGAAUUCCUGGUGUAGUAGUGAAAUGCGUAGAUAUCAGGAGGAACACCGGUGGCGAAGGCGGUUUACUGGACCACAACUGACGCUGAGACACGAAAGCGUGGGGAGCAAACAGGAUUAGAUACCCUGGUA